GGUAGUCCACGCCGUAAACGAUGAGUGCUAGGUGUUAGGUCCUUUCCGGGACUUAGUGCCGCAGCUAACGCAUUAAGCACUCCGCCUGGGGAGUACGACCGCAAGGUUGAAACUCAAAGGAAUUGACGGGGGCCCGCACAAGCGGUGGAGCAUGUGGUUUAAUUNGAAGCAACGCGAAGAACCUUACCAGGUCUUGACAUCCCGAUGCCCGCUCUAGAGAUAGAGCUUUACUUCGGUACAUCGGUGACAGGUGGUGCAUGGUUGUCGUCAGCUCGUGUCGUGAGAUGUUGGGUUAAGUCCCGCAACGAGCGCAACCCUUAUUGUUAGUUGCCAUCAUUCAGUUGGGCACUCUAGCGAGACUGCCGGUAAUAAACCGGAGGAAGGUGGGGANGACGUCAAAUCAUCAUGCCCCUUAUGACCUGGGCUACACACGUGCUACAAUGGCUGGUACAACGAGUCGCAAGCCGGNGACGGCAAGCUAAUCUCUGAAAGCCAGUCUCAGUUCGGAUUGUAGGCUGCAACUCGCCUACANGAAGUCGGAAUCGCUAGUAAUCGCGGAUCNGCACGCCGCGGUGAAUACGUUCCCGGGCCUUGUACAC
RNAcentral lists this ribosomal RNA (599 nucleotides) under uncultured bacterium. Its description in RNAcentral is "bacterial SSU rRNA". It matches the Rfam family "Bacterial small subunit ribosomal RNA", at positions 789 to 1388 of the family's 1533-position model. The record is from RNAcentral.